Molecule: regulatory RNA element, 66 nt
Organism: Rhizobium sp. Root1212
Lineage: Bacteria; Pseudomonadati; Pseudomonadota; Alphaproteobacteria; Hyphomicrobiales; Rhizobiaceae
Rfam family: S-element
About the family: This family represents a group of S-elements from p42d and related plasmids. The S-element has multiple functions and is believed to act as a negative regulator of repC transcription, be required for efficient replication and act as a translational enhancer of repC.
Source: Rfam
AGUCAAGAGUCUUGGCACCGUUUUGGUGAUCGAAUUUCUUUUGCCUUGUGAAAGGUGAAGGACAUG